This 86-nucleotide small nucleolar RNA is filed under the name Eucalyptus grandis. Its description in RNAcentral is "Plant small nucleolar RNA SNOR75". It matches the Rfam family "Plant small nucleolar RNA SNOR75". From Rfam's summary of the family: U15 is a member of the C/D class of snoRNA which contain the C (UGAUGA) and D (CUGA) box motifs. The record is from Rfam by way of RNAcentral. Lineage: Eukaryota; Viridiplantae; Streptophyta; Magnoliopsida; Myrtales; Myrtaceae.
UCUUUUUAAUUUUAUUUAUGGUGACGAGUCCGAUUGAAUCCAUUCUUGCAGAAUAGUGACGACAAGGAGGCAUUUGUCUGGGAGAA